RNAcentral lists this transfer RNA (62 nucleotides) under Falcolipeurus suturalis. Its description in RNAcentral is "tRNA-Val". The record is from RNAcentral. Lineage: Eukaryota; Metazoa; Arthropoda; Insecta; Psocodea; Philopteridae.
AAGGUUAUAGUUUAUAGAAAACAUAUUGUUUACACCAAUAUAAAUCACGUUUGAUGGCCUUA